RNAcentral lists this non-coding RNA (130 nucleotides) under Erythranthe guttata (spotted monkey flower). RNAcentral's name for it is "Mimulus guttatus (spotted monkey flower) Eukaryotic small subunit ribosomal RNA". It matches the Rfam family "Eukaryotic small subunit ribosomal RNA", at positions 987 to 1112 of the family's 1831-position model. Lineage: Eukaryota; Viridiplantae; Streptophyta; Magnoliopsida; Lamiales; Phrymaceae. The record is from Rfam by way of RNAcentral.
AAGUUGCGCCUGAAGCCAGAAGACGAUCAGAUACCGUCCUAGUCUCAACCAUAAAUGAUGCCAACAGGGAUCGACGGAUGUUGCUUUUAUGACUCUGCCGACACCUUAUGAGAAAUCAAAGUCUUUGGGU